CCUACGGGCGGCAGCAGUGAGGAAUAUUGGACAAUGGGCGCGAGCCUGAACCAGCCAAGUAGCGUGAAGGAUGACUGCCCUACGGGUUGUAAACUUCUUUUAUAAAGGAAUAAAGUGAGGCACGUGUGCCUUUUUGUAUGUACUUUUUGAAUAAGGAUCGGCUAACUCCGUGCAAGCCGCCGCGGUAAUCCGGAGGAUGCGAGCGUUAUCCGGAUUUAUUGGGUUUAAAGGGUGCGCAGGCGGAAGAGCAAGUCAGCGGUAAAAUUGAGAGGCUCAACCUCUUCGAGCCGUUGAAACGGGUGUUCUUGAGUGAGUGAGAAGUAUGCGGAAUGCGUGGUGUAGCGGUGAAAUGCAUAGAUAUCACGCAGAACUCCGAUUGCGAAGGCAGCAUACCGGCGCUCAACUGACGCUCAUGCACGAAAGUGUGGGUAUCGAACAGGAUUAGAUACCCGUGUAGUC
This 459-nucleotide ribosomal RNA is filed under the name uncultured bacterium. RNAcentral's name for it is "partial 16S ribosomal RNA". It matches the Rfam family "Bacterial small subunit ribosomal RNA", at positions 338 to 795 of the family's 1533-position model. The record is from RNAcentral.